This 884-nucleotide ribosomal RNA is filed under the name Parazoanthus cf. darwini MQ74b. RNAcentral describes it as "partial 16S ribosomal RNA". It matches the Rfam family "Bacterial large subunit ribosomal RNA", at positions 1582 to 2473 of the family's 2925-position model. Lineage: Eukaryota; Metazoa; Cnidaria; Anthozoa; Zoantharia; Parazoanthidae. The record is from RNAcentral.
UGCCAGGAAAGAAUUAUUCAAGGGCAUCGGUAAAUCGAAGGUGAUAACCAUCUUUCGGCGCCGCACUGUACUAAACUAACUAAAGUGGGGGAUAGUGAGGGGAUAAAUUUCCUUAAGGAACUCGGCAAAAUCCCAAUGGCCCACCAGGGCAUAUAUUGGAACACGGGCCUCGACUGUUUACCAAAAACAUAGCCCUCGGCCAAUAUGAAAAUAGAAGUAUGGAGGGUGAGGCCUGCCCAAUGGUUGUAUCUAAAAGCGGUUGAUAAAAGUCGACCGUGUAAGGACAAUUGAAUGGCCGCGGUAACACUGACCGUGAUAAUGUAGCGUAAUCAAUAGCCAAUUAAUUGUUGGCCAGUAUGAAUGGCGCCACGAAGGCCCCACUGUCUUAAGGAAAUUCCCAGUGAAAUUGAAUUCGUAGUGAAGAUGCUACGUCCAAUUUGUUAGACGAAAAGACCCCGUUGAGCUUUACUGGGGCACUUACACGGCCCCGGCCUUCAAAACUGGGUUGAUAAGCCAAGGCUUACCAUACCUAGGGACCGGCCGAAUUUAAAUGGGCGGCUUAGACUAUGUGGCAGCCCCCCCCGUCGGGGCAGAUGAAACCCCACUCCCCCAUGUCAAAGGGGCUAACCCCCCCCCUUGGGGGGGACAGUGUAAGUAGGACAGUUUGGUUGGGGCGACCGCCUUUUAGAGAGUAACGAAGGUGCGCUUAAGGUGCGUAAUUAAUGACUGAAGCCUGACUGCGAGGGGGACACCCCGAGCAGACACCCCCAAGCCCGCCCUCGCCUUCGUACCAACGGAGGGAGGGCGGCGGUGGGGUGGGCCAUAGUGACCCGUUAAUUUAGAGUGGAAUAGUUAACGAUCAACGAAUAAAAGUUACCACGGGG